CCGUCUGAGGCGUUUACUGGUGAUGGACCCCGGGCGCUGAGGCUAUGCGCCCCCGGGAGGUGCUGGGCCAGGCGGCCCGGCUGGCCUCCUCUGGUCUCCUCCUGCAGGUGGUGUUUCGAUUGAUCACCUUUGUCUUAAAUGCAUUUAUUCUUCGCUUCCUGUCAAAGGAAAUCGUUGGCAUAGUGAAUGUCAGGCUAACACUGCUUUACUCUACCACCAUCUUCCUGGCCAGAGAGGCCUUCCGCAGAGCAUGUCUGAGUGGCAGCACCCAGCGGGACUGGAGCCAGACCCUCAACCUCCUGUGGCUAACAGUCCCUUUGGGUGUGUUUUGGUCCGUGUUCCUGGGCUGGGCCUGGCUACAGUUGCUCGCAGUGCCCGAUCCUGACGUCAUCCCCCACUAUGGAACUGGAGUGGUGUUGUUUGGGUUCUCGGCAGUGGUGGAACUUCUGGGAGAGCCCUUCUGGGUCUUGGCACAAGCACAUAUGUUUGUCAAGCUCAAGGUGAUUGCUGAGAGCCUGUCAGUAAUCCUCAAGAGCGUCCUGACAGCUUUUCUCGUGCUGUGUUUGCCUCACUGGGGACUGUAUAUUUUCUCUUUGGCCCAGCUUUUCUAUACUGCAGUUCUCGUGCUCUGCUAUGUUAUUUAUUUCACAAAGUUACUGGGCUCCCCAGAAUCAGCCAAGCAACAAGUUCUUCCUGUCUCCAGAAUGACAGAUAUGUUACCCAGUAUUACGAGAAGUAGAGCUUUUGUAAAUUCGGAAGAGGCUAAAUUGACUUGGAGUUUCUUCAAACAGUCUUUCUUGAAACAGAUUUUGACAGAAGGGGAGCGGUAUGUGAUGACAUUUUUGAACGUGUUAAAUUUUGGGGAUCAGGGCGUGUAUGAUAUAGUGAAUAAUCUUGGCUCCCUUGUGGCAAGAUUAAUUUUCCAGCCAAUAGAAGAGAGUUUUUAUAUAUUCUUUGCUAAGGUGCUGGAGAGAGAAAAGGAUGCCACACUUCAGAAGGAGGAGGAUGUUGCUGUGGCCGCUGCGGUUUUGGAGUCCCUGCUAAAGCUGGCCCUGCUCACUGGCCUGACCAUCUCUGUUUUCGGCUUUGCCUAUUCUCACCUGGCUUUGGACAUCUAUGGAGGGGCCAUGCUUAGCUCAGGAUCAGGUCCUGUCCUGCUGCGUGCCUAUUGUCUUUACGUCCUCCUGCUUGCCAUCAAUGGAGUGACCGAGUGUUUCACAUUUGCUGCCAUGAGCAAAGAGGAGGUCGACAGGUACAAUUUCACAAUGCUGGCCCUCUCAUCUUCGUUCCUGCUGUUAGCCUAUCUCCUGACCCAUUGGUGUGGCAGCGUGGGCUUCAUCUUGGCCAACUGCUUCAACAUGGGCAUUCGGAUCACACACAGCCUUUGCUUCAUCCACCACUACUACCGGAAGAGCCCCCACAAGCCCCUGACCGGCCUGUUCCUGUCGCCAGUCCUCCUCGGGGCAUUUGCCCUCAGUGGUGGCAUCACUGCUGUUUCCGAGGUGUUCCUCUGCUGUGAGCGGGGCUGGCCAGCCAUGCUGUUGCACGUCGCUGUGGGGGCCCUCUGUUUGGGAGCGACUCUUGGGACAGCGUUCCUCACGGAGACCAAGCUGAUCCACUUUCUUAGGACUCAGUUAGGUGUGUCGAGACUCACUGACAAAACAACGUGACCUCGCGGAAGCCUUGUGGCACCUGGACCAGCUGUGGGGCAGUUUUGUGGGUGGAACAUGUUUUCUAUGCAGAAGAGCCCAGUUAGGGGUCUGUAGUGGAGCGAGACCAACAUACAGUGCUGCAGGUGAAGAGGAAACGAAAGAUCCUUCUCAGCCCAGCUUGCCCGGAGGAGCUUAGAAGGUGACGACAUGGGUAACGGAGACUGCCCGAGGCCUUCUGACUCUUGGCCAACUCAGGUAGGCAAGCCUGGGGAA
Molecule: RNA transcript, 1925 nt
Organism: Balaenoptera ricei (Rice's whale)
Lineage: Eukaryota; Metazoa; Chordata; Mammalia; Artiodactyla; Balaenopteridae
Gene: RFT1
Gene name: RFT1 homolog
Exons: 14
Source: RefSeq, a predicted model, not a curated record